Molecule: long non-coding RNA, 254 nt
Filed under: Zostera marina
Lineage: Eukaryota; Viridiplantae; Streptophyta; Magnoliopsida; Alismatales; Zosteraceae
Description: long non-coding RNA (ZMAR_LNC000138)
Source: RNAcentral
UCAGCUAAUUGUGUGAACACUGAUCAGAUUUGGACACCAUGGAACAAUGAUGACAAAAAGGCUGAAUCUCCUGAAAAUCCCAUUGGACCAUAUGGCUUUCCACUAUACUCUGAGAAAUACAAUCCGAGCCCACUACCCAAGUACAAGGAUCCAGGUAAAGCAAAUUCUAUUUUUAACAAAUAUUCUAAUAUCUACUGGAUUAUUGACUCAGGUGCCUCUGAGCACCUGAGUGAAAAUGAAUCUCUAUUCCAAAA